GGGGAAUCUUGCGCAAUGGCCGAAAGGCUGACGCAGCGACGCCGCGUGUGGGAGGACGCUCUUCGGAUCGUAAACCACUGUUGCCCGGGACGAACAGCGCUAUUCGUGGCGUCUGACGGUACCGGGUGAGGAAGCACCGGCUAACUCCGUGCCAGCAGCCGCGGUAAUACGGAGGGUGCGAGCGUUGUCCGGAAUCAUAGGGCGUAAAGGGCGCGUAGGUGGCCCGGUCAGUCUUUGGUGAAAGCGCGGGGCUCAACCCUGCGUCGGCCAGGGAUACUGCCGCGGCUCGAGCACUGUAGAGGCAGGCGGAAUUCCGGGUGUAGCGGUGGAAUGCGUAGAGAUCCGGAAGAACACCGGUGGCGAAGGCGGCCUGCUGGGCAGUUUAGCUGACACUGAGGCGCGACAGCGUGGGGAGCAAAC
RNAcentral lists this ribosomal RNA (420 nucleotides) under uncultured bacterium. RNAcentral describes it as "bacterial SSU rRNA". It matches the Rfam family "Bacterial small subunit ribosomal RNA", at positions 356 to 773 of the family's 1533-position model. The record is from RNAcentral.